This 465-nucleotide ribosomal RNA is filed under the name uncultured bacterium. RNAcentral's name for it is "partial 16S ribosomal RNA". It matches the Rfam family "Bacterial small subunit ribosomal RNA", at positions 28 to 507 of the family's 1533-position model. The record is from RNAcentral.
GACGAACGCUGGCGGCGUGCUUAACACAUGCAAGUCGAACGGAAAGGCCCCUUUGGGGGUACUCGAGUGGCGAACGGGUGAGUAACACGUGAGUAACCUGCCCUUGACUUCGGGAUAACUUCAGGAAACUGGGGCUAAUACCGGAUAGGAAUCCUUGCUGCAUGGUGGGGGUUGGAAAGCUUCGGCGGUUUUGGAUGGACUCGCGGCUUAUCAGCUUGUUGGUGGGGUAGUGGCUUACCAAGGCUUUGACGGGUAGCCGGCCUGAGAGGGCGACCGGCCACAUUGGGACUGAGAUACGGCCCAGACUCCUACGAGAGGCAGCAGUGGGGAAUAUUGCACAAUGGGCGGAAGCCUGAUGCAGCAACGCCGCGUGCGGGAUGACGGCCUUCGGGUUGUAAACCGCUUUCAGCAGGGGCGAAGCUUGUGGUGACGGUACCUGCAGAAGAAGCACCGGCUAACUACGUG